RNAcentral lists this small nucleolar RNA (94 nucleotides) under Stomoxys calcitrans (stable fly). RNAcentral describes it as "small nucleolar RNA Me28S-Gm1083". It matches the Rfam family "Small nucleolar RNA Me28S-Gm1083". Rfam says of the family: Me28S-Gm1083 is a member of the C/D class of snoRNA which contain the C (UGAUGA) and D (CUGA) box motifs. Lineage: Eukaryota; Metazoa; Arthropoda; Insecta; Diptera; Muscidae. The record is from RNAcentral.
AUUUAUAUGAUGACAUUUUAUCUUUCGCCCCUAGCUGAAAAUUUGGAAACAUUUCAUGUUGAAUGCGAAUGAUUGGUCUUGCUGAAGAAAUCAU